AAGUCGUAACAAGGUCUCCGUUGGUGAACCAGCGAAGGGAUCAUUAGAGAGUGCCCUACUCCCAAAACCCAUGUGAACUUACCUGUACGUUGCCUCGGCGGGGGAGGGGCUGGCCACCCCCCCUCCGCCAGGCGGCCCACCAAACCCUGUUUAGCCCUGAAUCUCUGAGACGAUAAAACAAUGAGCUAAAACUUUCAACAACGGAUCUCUUGGCUCUGGCAUCGAUGAAGAACGCAGCGAAAUGCGAUACGUAGUGUGAAUUGCAGAAUUUAGUGAAUCAUCGAAUCUUUGAACGCACAUUGCGCCCGCCAGUAUUCUGGCGGGCAUGCCUGUUCGAGCGUCAUUUCAACCCCUUAAGCCCUUGUCGCUUAGUGUUGGGAGCCGACGGCGUCCUGCCGUCGCUCCUCAAAUCCAGUGGCGGAGCCGGUUUCGCGCUCUGGGCGUAGUAGAUUUUCUCCAUCUCGCCUGCAGCCGGGGCCGGCCUCCCUGCCGUAAAACCACCACCAAUGUACCCAAAGGUUGACCUCGAAUCAGGUAGGAAUACCCGCUGAACUUAAGCAUAUCAAUAAGCGGAGGAAAAGAAACCAACAGGGAUUGCCCCAGUAACGGCGAGUGAAGCGGCAACAGCUCAAAUUUGAAAUCUGGCCCUCGGGUCCGAGUUGUAAUUUGUAGAGGAUGCUUUUGGCGCGGUGCCUUCCGAGUUCCCUGGAACGGGACGCCUUAGAGGGUGAGAGCCCCGUACGGUUGGACACCAAGCCUCUGUAAAGCGCCUUCGACGAGUCGAGUAGUUUGGGAAUGCUGCUCUAAAUGGGAGGUAAAUUUCUUCUAAAGCUAAAUAUUGGCCAGAGACCGAUAGCGCACAAGUAGAGUGAUCGAAAGAUGAAAAGCACUUUGAAAAGAGGGUUAAACAGCACGUGAAAUUGUUGAAAGGGAAGCGUUUGCGACCAGACCUCUCCCCGGCGGAUCAUCCGGCGUUCUCGCCGGUGCACUUCGCCGGGCUGAGGCCAGCAUCGGUUUCCGCGGGGGGACAAAAGCGGGGGGAACGUAGCUCCCUCGGGAGUGUUAUAGCCCCCCGCAUAAUACCCUCGCGGGGACCGAGGACCGCGCUUCGGCAAGGAUGCUGGCGUAAUGGUCGUCAACGACC
RNAcentral lists this ribosomal RNA (1144 nucleotides) under uncultured Rosellinia. RNAcentral describes it as "eukaryotic LSU rRNA". The stretch from base 521 to 1144 matches the Rfam family "Eukaryotic large subunit ribosomal RNA", at positions 1 to 649 of the family's 3401-position model. Lineage: Eukaryota; Fungi; Ascomycota; Sordariomycetes; Xylariales; Xylariaceae. The record is from RNAcentral.